GUAUUUAUCUUUAUAUAAUAAUUGUUUUUAUGGAAGUCUCAUAGUCUUCAUAAAUGCAUUAACACGGUAUUUAUUUUCCAUUUAAUUUGGGCAUUUCAGAUGACGUUACCCACAAUCCUUUCAUAAGCACAGACACGUGUGAUGGGUUUAAAAUCACCACAGCAACAGGAGCGUGGAAGUGAAACCCGUCUUAAAACCAUGCUUAAAACCUGUUAAUUUGCACAACUGUUAAUAGUGGACAGCACCACUAAUAAUGAAAGCAAACGUGAAAUCUUCGCCUUUACAGAAAAGUGUGCAACAGCAUUUCCCCAUAAUUCCAAAAGAUGCUGCUAUCAAGAUUGUCACAGGAGAACUGACUGCAAUCAAAGCAGGAGGAGCUUACCGAGGACAGGAAACUGCAAACAGUAAUUGAGCAGGUUAUGGUGGAUCAGCUGUCAAGGGCUGUCAUUAGUGAUCCGGAGCAGAAUGCUGUGUCUGUCAGUCCCAUGAGUGUCCCUCCACGCUACAGGAGAACUCUCAACCACACUAAAUGGAAGGCACUGCACUUUAUCGCGCGUGGUGUGUAUUUGAACAGAGGGAGGCCGUACUGCCUGCAGGACAUCUCACAGGUUCACCACACUCAUCAUCUGUCACACACACAUGGACUAAUAUUAAUUCAUUAA
Long non-coding RNA from Cyprinus carpio (common carp), 662 nucleotides. Lineage: Eukaryota; Metazoa; Chordata; Actinopteri; Cypriniformes; Cyprinidae. The record is from Ensembl.